UCCCCUUUCCCUGUUCCCUACAGGAAACAGCCCAAGUGCCCAUCAAUUGGAAACUGGAUGAAGAAGAUGUGGUUUUUUAAUACAAUGGAGUACUACUCAGCUAUAAUGAACGUGGAACUGGAGACAUUUAUAGCUAAAUGGAUGCAUAUUGAGGCCAUACUCUUUAGUGAGAUAAAUAGGACACAUGUAUAAAUACCAAAUAGUUCCUCUAGUGUGAGAAACUGAAAGUGUAAAUAAGGAUUAAAAUGAUUAAAACAAAUAAUUGAUAAUUUGAAAUAGGAAAAGGUCCAAAGGUGUAGGGGUGGUGGGAGGGGAAGGGGAAAGGAAAGAAGGGAAAGGAAAAAUUAUGAGAAAAGAAAAAAAUGGUAACGAAAUCUAUGUAAAUAGGGAAGGGUGGAGGAGGUGAAGGGCGCAUAGGUAAUGGGGAAAAAAAUAAGCAAGACACAUCAUGUACAGGUACAAGCAACCAAUGAUAAAUGUAAACGUAUUGUAUACCUAAAAUCUACCAAUAAAAGAAUUAAAAAAAAGAACUUUUUAUUUGAUUAAAAAAUAACACAAACUCACCUUGGUAAAUUUGGAAAAUAUGAAAGGCGUUGAAUCACAUCAAACCCAUCACUCAGGUAUAAUUACCAUUAUUUGAAGUAUUUUCUUUUUUCGAUGUAUAAAUAGAAUCAUUGAUAUAUAAUCAUAAAAUUCUGUAUUCCUUUUUUCCCUUAACAUUGAGGUACACAUAUUUCUCUCAUAUUAUUGAACAUUUUUAGACUACACUAGACAUUCAUUGGUCAAUUUAAGGUUAUUUGAUUCUUGACAUGGCUGGAUAUUUUGUGUUUCUUAAUCAAUGCUUCAUAAAGAAUCCUUUUAUCUUUGUUUAUUAAAAAUAAAGUGUACUUAUUGUGGCUACAGGGUGAGAGCUGUUGGAAGGCAAUCAAGAUCUACAUGUUUUAUGUUAAGGAAAAUGUAAUCAGAUAUCUGGCACUGCCUCUUCUGCUUUCUAUUUAUGUCCUGUGCCUUUUCUUUUUUCUCCUAGAGGACUAAAAUCAUAGAAGUAGUUAAACCUCAGUACUGGGGCAAGUUUUACAAAUCUGGAGGUUUUAGUUCAAGCUGAUGUUGCGUAUAAAUGUACUGUGUAUCAGAGCUAAAUCACCCCUGAUACCACUGAAAUGUUUGUAUCCUUUCUUCCCAUGACAUCAGACCCCCACUAGUAGUCACUGAGGAUAUGAAGGAGUUAGGAUUGGAGGGCAGAAUGACAUGUUCUUUAUGCACCUGUGUCAGAGGCAGCACAGAGAAGGUUGGGGUUUACAAUCCAAUAACGUAUUUUCUAGGGAAGGCUAAAUAUCAAGGGCAAAGACUUCAGUAUACAAGGAAGAACUUCUGCUUUUGCACAGUAACAGCCCCAAGUUCAAAUGACUUCAUUUGCUACACGUACUCUGUCGGUUACAUGAAGAGGGUAAUGUAAGUGGAAGGGAACCUGUGUUGACAUGUGUCUGUCUCUUCUAGGAGCUGAGGUUGUCCUAUAAUAGUUAAUCAAGAUCACCAUCAACAUUAAAGGUGAAUGGAUAAAGCAAAUGUGGUAUUUACAUACAGAGAAGUACUACUGUGCUAUAAAGAUAACCUUGAGUCAUUUGUAGGAAAAUGGAUGCAACAUGAGACCAUAUUG
Molecule: long non-coding RNA, 1657 nt
Organism: Heterocephalus glaber (naked mole-rat)
Lineage: Eukaryota; Metazoa; Chordata; Mammalia; Rodentia; Bathyergidae
Source: Ensembl